UAGCUACAGGCUUAACACAUGCAAGUCGAGGGGAAACGACAUCGAAAGCUUGCUUUUGAUGGGCGUCGACCGGCGCACGGGUGAGUAACGCGUAUCCAACCUGCCCACCACUUGGGGAUAACCUUGCGAAAGUAAGACUAAUACCCAAUGAUAUCUCUAGAAGGCAUCUGAAAGAGAUUAAAGAUUUAUCGGUGAUGGAUGGGGAUGCGUCUGAUUAGCUUGUUGGCGGGGUAACGGCCCACCAAGGCAACGAUCAGUAGGGGUUCUGAGAGGAAGGUCCCCCACAUUGGAACUGAGACACGGUCCAAACUCCUACGGGAGGCAGCAGUGAGGAAUAUUGGUCAAUGGACGAGAGUCUGAACCAGCCAAGUAGCGUGCAGGAUGACGGCCCUAUGGGUUGUAAACUGCUUUUAUAAGGGAAUAAAGUGAGAGUCGUGACUCUUUUUGCAUGUACCUUAUGAAUAAGGACCGGCUAAUUCCGUGCCAGCAGCCGCGGUAAUACGGAAGGUCCGGGCGUUAUCCGGAUUUAUUGGGUUUAAAGGGAGCGUAGGCCGGAGAUUAAGCGUGUUGUGAAAUGUAGAUGCUCAACGUCUGCACUGCAGCGCGAACUGGUUUCCUUGAGUACGCACAAAGUGGGCGGAAUUCGUGGUGUAGCGGUGAAAUGCUUAGAUAUCACGAAGAACUCCGAUUGCGAAGGCAGCUCACUGGAGCGCAACUGACGCUGAAGCUCGAAAGUGCGGGUAUCGAACAGGAUUAGAUACCCUGGUAGUCCGCACGGUAAACGAUGGAUGCCCGCUGUUGGUCUGAAUAGGUCAGCGGCCAAGCGAAAGCAUUAAGCAUCCCACCUGGGGAGUACGCCGGCAACGGUGAAACUCAAAGGAAUUGACGGGGGCCCCGCACAAGCGGAGGAACAUGUGGUUUAAUUCGAUGAUACCCGAGGAACCUUACCCGGGCUUGAAUUGCAGAGGAAGGAUUUGGAGACAAUGACGCCCUUCGGGGUCUCUGUGAAGGUGCUGCAUGGUUGUCGUCAGCUCGUGCCGUGAGGUGUCGGCUUAAGUGCCAUAACGAGCGCAACCCCUCUCCUUAGUUGCCAUCAGGUCACGCUGGGCACUCUGGGGACACUGCCACCGUAAGGUGUGAGGA
Molecule: ribosomal RNA, 1143 nt
Filed under: uncultured bacterium
Lineage: Bacteria
Description: bacterial SSU rRNA
Rfam family: Bacterial small subunit ribosomal RNA
Source: RNAcentral